Molecule: long non-coding RNA, 642 nt
Organism: Polistes dominula (European paper wasp)
Lineage: Eukaryota; Metazoa; Arthropoda; Insecta; Hymenoptera; Vespidae
Source: RefSeq, a predicted model, not a curated record
UGUAUUUUGAAUGCUGCAAAUCCAGCCUGCGUGCAGUGUAAGUGAUCAACAAUUCUGAAUGAAAAUAGUUCAAUUGGAUGAAUAACUAUGGRACAGUGUUAUGUCAUAACCUAAGAAAAAUAAUUUUCUAAAUAAAAUCCAAGGAUUCAGAUGCAUUCAAGACGUUCUCUUUAUCAAAUUAUUAUAACAAAUAAUAAUAAGUAUGAAGCUCUACAUUUUAAAUUCCAACCAAAAAGAAGGAGAGUCUGUUACAUCAUGGGAUCAAUGGAUAUAUUUUUCAUUUUCUUACGACUGACGAUAAGAAGAUUUUCAUUGAUUUGAUGGUCUUCCUUAAAAGAGUUUCAUUCUACAAUAUUAUGCGAAUAGAAUGCAGCUGCAGUGACAACGAAUAAUCAAGACGAGAGUCUAGUUGGAAAAGUACACGUCAUAUUAUUGAAGCAGACUGAAAAUAUAGUCGAUUCCCAUCAUAUCUGAGAACUUACAAAAGUUUCCUGGUACUAAAAAGACAACCAGAAGACAUCCAAUGGAUUUUUAACACACAUCAGCAACUUGAAAACAACGUACUACGUUCUGUAUUUAAAUUUUUAUAUAAAUUACAAUUUAUCAAUGUUAUAAAUAAACUGUACAUUACAGAAUUGUAAA